GUGCAGCAGUCGCGAAACCUCCGCAAUGCGGGCAACCGCGACGGGGGACCCCCAGUGCCGUGGCAUCGCCACGGCUUUUCCGGAGUGUAAAAAGCUCCGGGAAUAAGGGCUGGGCAAGGCCGGUGGCAGCCGCCGCGGUAAUACCGGCGGCCCGAGUGGUGGCCGCUAUUAUUGGGCCUAAAGCGUCCGUAGCCGGGCCUGUAAGUCCCUGGCGAAAUCCCACGGCUCAACCGUGGGGCUUGCUGGGGAUACUGCAGGCCUUGGGACCGGGAGAGGCCGGGGGUACCCCUGGGGGUAGGGGUGAAAUCCUAUAAUCCCAGGGGGACCGCCAGUGGCGAAGGCGCCCGGCUGGAACGGGUCCGACGGUGAGGGACGAAGGCCAGGGGAGCGAACCGGAUUAGAUACCCCCGUAGU
Molecule: ribosomal RNA, 414 nt
Filed under: uncultured microorganism
Description: bacterial SSU rRNA
Rfam family: Archaeal small subunit ribosomal RNA
Source: RNAcentral